RNAcentral lists this ribosomal RNA (478 nucleotides) under uncultured bacterium. Its description in RNAcentral is "partial 16S ribosomal RNA". It matches the Rfam family "Bacterial small subunit ribosomal RNA", at positions 28 to 523 of the family's 1533-position model. The record is from RNAcentral.
GACGACCGCUGGCGGCGCGCAUAACACAUGCAAGUCGAACGGUAAGGCACUUCGGGGUACACGAGUGGCGAACGGGUGAGUAACACGGGGGAGAACUGCCCUGCACAUCGGGUUAAGCCUGGGUAACUGGGUCUAAUACCGGAGAGGCCCCUGGGAUGCAUGUCCUGGGGUGAGAAGCAUUUGCGGUGUGGGAUGGGCCCGCGGCCUAUCAGCUUGUUGGUGGGGUGAUGGCAUACCAAGGCGACGAAGGGUAGCCGGCCGGAGGAGGUGACCGGCUACACUGGGACUGUGAUACGGCCCAGGCUCCUUCGGGAGGCAGCAGUGGGGAAUAUUGCACAAUGGGCGCAAGCCUGAUGCAGCGACGCCGCGUGAGGGAUGACGGCCUUCGGGUUGUAAACCUCUUUCAGCACCGUCGAAGCGCAAGUGACGGUAGGUGCAGAAGAAGGAACGGCCAACUACGUGCCAGCAGCCGCGGUAA